UGUUUCCUGACAGUUUCCGGAUGGCCCCGGCGGUCUGCCCCAAGGGAUGUUUCUGGGCGAGCUGGUCUUCCUCCCAAAAACCGGGUGUGCUCUUAACUGAAUGUGGUCAGGAACUGUGAAGUUUACCUUGAAAAAAUUAAAGGGUUCAAAGCAAGCCAGCGCUUGAAUACAUUAACAAGGAAUAAUGGAAUAAGACUUUGGUUCUAUUUUGUUGGUUUCUGGAGCCUUAAAAUGAUUAUGAGAGACACUUGGGGGCGCUCGCAUUUCUCUGUCUGAGAUGAAUUCUCGUAUUUACAAGAGACAAACUCUUGCGAAAGCGUUUGCCACGAAUGUGU
RNAcentral lists this ribosomal RNA (335 nucleotides) under uncultured eukaryote. RNAcentral describes it as "bacterial SSU rRNA". The stretch from base 107 to 335 matches the Rfam family "Eukaryotic small subunit ribosomal RNA", at positions 736 to 969 of the family's 1831-position model. The record is from RNAcentral.